Molecule: ribosomal RNA, 201 nt
Filed under: Clostridioides difficile
Lineage: Bacteria; Bacillati; Bacillota; Clostridia; Peptostreptococcales; Peptostreptococcaceae
Description: partial 23S ribosomal RNA
Rfam family: Bacterial large subunit ribosomal RNA
Source: RNAcentral
UCAGGUGGCCGCAGAGAAUAGGCCCAAGCGACUGUUUACCAAAAACAUAGGUUUCUGCUAAGUCGCAAGACGACGUAUAGGAGCUGACGCCUGCCCGGUGCUGGAAGGUUAAGGGGAUCUGUUAGAGUAAUCGAAGCAGUGAACUUAAGCCCCAGUAAACGGCGGCCGUAACUAUAACGGUCCUAAGGUAGCGAAAUUCCU